RNAcentral lists this non-coding RNA (24 nucleotides) under Arabidopsis thaliana (thale cress). The record is from RNAcentral. Lineage: Eukaryota; Viridiplantae; Streptophyta; Magnoliopsida; Brassicales; Brassicaceae.
ACUCUCUAAAGAUGUCCAACUUGU